Molecule: ribosomal RNA, 253 nt
Filed under: uncultured bacterium
Lineage: Bacteria
Description: partial 16S ribosomal RNA
Rfam family: Bacterial small subunit ribosomal RNA
Source: RNAcentral
UACAGAGGGUGCGAGCGUUGUCCGGAAUCACUGGGCGUAAAGGGCGCGUAGGCGGUCUGCUAAGCGUGCGGUGAAAGCUCGGGGCUCAACCCCGAGUCGGCCGUGCGAACUGGUGGACUGGAGCAUGUCAGAGGCAGGCGGAAUUCCGGGUGUAGCGGUGGAAUGCGUAGAGAUCCGGAAGAACACCGGUGGCGAAGGCGGCCUGCUGGGACAUUGCUGACGCUGAGGCGCGACAGCGUGGGGAGCAAACAGG